RNAcentral lists this ribosomal RNA (253 nucleotides) under uncultured bacterium. RNAcentral's name for it is "partial 16S ribosomal RNA". It matches the Rfam family "Bacterial small subunit ribosomal RNA", at positions 524 to 776 of the family's 1533-position model. The record is from RNAcentral.
UACGAAGGGUGCUAGCGUUGUUCGGAAUCACUGGGCGUAAAGCGCACGUAGGCGGUUGUGUCAGUCAGGGGUGAAAUCCCGGAGCUCAACUUCGGAACUGCCUUUGAUACAGCACGUCUUGAGUCCGAUAGAGGUGGGUGGAAUUCCUAGUGUAGAGGUGAAAUUCGUAGAUAUUAGGAAGAACACCGGUGGCGAAGGCGGCCCACUGGAUCGGUACUGACGCUGAGGUGCGAAAGCGUGGGGAGCAAACAGG